RNAcentral lists this ribosomal RNA (1529 nucleotides) under Bacteroides fragilis. RNAcentral describes it as "bacterial SSU rRNA". It matches the Rfam family "Bacterial small subunit ribosomal RNA". Lineage: Bacteria; Pseudomonadati; Bacteroidota; Bacteroidia; Bacteroidales; Bacteroidaceae. RNAcentral also lists the same sequence under 1 other name. The record is from RNAcentral.
ACAAUGAAGAGUUUGAUCCUGGCUCAGGAUGAACGCUAGCUACAGGCUUAACACAUGCAAGUCGAGGGGCAUCAGGAAGAAAGCUUGCUUUCUUUGCUGGCGACCGGCGCACGGGUGAGUAACACGUAUCCAACCUGCCCUUUACUCGGGGAUAGCCUUUCGAAAGAAAGAUUAAUACCCGAUGGCAUAAUGAUUCCGCAUGGUUUCAUUAUUAAAGGAUUCCGGUAAAGGAUGGGGAUGCGUUCCAUUAGGUUGUUGGUGAGGUAACGGCUCACCAAGCCUUCGAUGGAUAGGGGUUCUGAGAGGAAGGUCCCCCACAUUGGAACUGAGACACGGUCCAAACUCCUACGGGAGGCAGCAGUGAGGAAUAUUGGUCAAUGGGCGCUAGCCUGAACCAGCCAAGUAGCGUGAAGGAUGAAGGCUCUAUGGGUCGUAAACUUCUUUUAUAUAAGAAUAAAGUGCAGUAUGUAUACUGUUUUGUAUGUAUUAUAUGAAUAAGGAUCGGCUAACUCCGUGCCAGCAGCCGCGGUAAUACGGAGGAUCCGAGCGUUAUCCGGAUUUAUUGGGUUUAAAGGGAGCGUAGGUGGACUGGUAAGUCAGUUGUGAAAGUUUGCGGCUCAACCGUAAAAUUGCAGUUGAUACUGUCAGUCUUGAGUACAGUAGAGGUGGGCGGAAUUCGUGGUGUAGCGGUGAAAUGCUUAGAUAUCACGAAGAACUCCGAUUGCGAAGGCAGCUCACUGGACUGCAACUGACACUGAUGCUCGAAAGUGUGGGUAUCAAACAGGAUUAGAUACCCUGGUAGUCCACACAGUAAACGAUGAAUACUCGCUGUUUGCGAUAUACAGUAAGCGGCCAAGCGAAAGCAUUAAGUAUUCCACCUGGGGAGUACGCCGGCAACGGUGAAACUCAAAGGAAUUGACGGGGGCCCGCACAAGCGGAGGAACAUGUGGUUUAAUUCGAUGAUACGCGAGGAACCUUACCCGGGCUUAAAUUGCAGUGGAAUGAUGUGGAAACAUGUCAGUGAGCAAUCACCGCUGUGAAGGUGCUGCAUGGUUGUCGUCAGCUCGUGCCGUGAGGUGUCGGCUUAAGUGCCAUAACGAGCGCAACCCUUAUCUUCAGUUACUAACAGGUCAUGCUGAGGACUCUGGAGAGACUGCCGUCGUAAGAUGUGAGGAAGGUGGGGAUGACGUCAAAUCAGCACGGCCCUUACGUCCGGGGCUACACACGUGUUACAAUGGGGGGUACAGAAGGCAGCUAGCGGGUGACCGUAUGCUAAUCCCAAAAUCCUCUCUCAGUUCGGAUCGAAGUCUGCAACCCGACUUCGUGAAGCUGGAUUCGCUAGUAAUCGCGCAUCAGCCACGGCGCGGUGAAUACGUUCCCGGGCCUUGUACACACCGCCCGUCAAGCCAUGGGAGCCGGGGGUACCUGAAGUACGUAACCGCAAGGAUCGUCCUAGGGUAAAACUGGUGACUGGGGCUAAGUCGUAACAAGGUAGCCGUACCGGAAGGUGCGGCUGGAACACCUCCUUU